Molecule: ribosomal RNA, 253 nt
Filed under: uncultured bacterium
Lineage: Bacteria
Description: partial 16S ribosomal RNA
Rfam family: Bacterial small subunit ribosomal RNA
Source: RNAcentral
UACGUAGGCAGCGAGCGUUGUUCGGAGUUACUGGGCGUAAAGCGUGCGUAGGCGGUGUUCCAAGUCUGUUGUGAAAUCUCCCGGCUUAACUGGGAGGGUGCGGCGGAAACUGGAACGCUGGAGUAUGGGAGAGGUAAGCGGAAUUCCAGGUGUAGCGGUGAAAUGCGUAGAUAUCUGGAGGAACACCGGUGGCGAAGGCGGCAUCCUGGACCAAUAUUGACGCUGAGGAGCGAAAGCCAGGGGAGCAAACGGG